This 567-nucleotide ribosomal RNA is filed under the name Lipomyces yamadae. Its description in RNAcentral is "partial large subunit ribosomal RNA". It matches the Rfam family "Eukaryotic large subunit ribosomal RNA", at positions 62 to 648 of the family's 3401-position model. The record is from RNAcentral. Lineage: Eukaryota; Fungi; Ascomycota; Lipomycetes; Lipomycetales; Lipomycetaceae.
AAACCAACAGGGAUUGCCUUAGUAACUGCGAGUGAAGCGGCAAGAGCUCAAAUUUGAAAUCUGACACCUUCGGUGUCCGAGUUGUAAUUUGUAGAAGCAUCUUUUGAAUUGGUCCUUGCAUAUGUUCCUUGGAACAGGACAUCAUAGAGGGUGAGAAUCCCGUUCAUGGUGGGGAAUCCAAUUCUUUGUAAAGUGCUUUCUAAGAGUCGAGUUGUUUGGGAAUGCAGCUCUAAGUGGGUGGUAAAUUCCAUCUAAAGCUAAAUAUUGGCGAGAGACCGAUAGCGAACAAGUACAGUGAUGGAAAGAUGAAAAGAACUCCGAAAGGAGAGUGAAAAAGGACGUGAAAUUGUUGAAAGGGAAGUGCUUGAGAUCAGUCUUAAGGUUUAGUGAUCAGUCUUCCUUUUGGUUGGUGCACUCACUAUUUCUUAGGCCAACAUCAGUUUGGGCGGCAGGAUAAUGACAUUGGAAUGUGGCUCUUUCGGGAGUGUUAUAGCCUUUGUUGAUACUGCCUGCUUGGACUGAGGACUGCGCUUCGGCUAGGAUGUUGGCAUAAUGAUCUUAAGCAGC